This 72-nucleotide transfer RNA is filed under the name Peltocephalus dumerilianus (big-headed amazon river turtle). RNAcentral's name for it is "tRNA-Leu(CUN)". The record is from RNAcentral. Lineage: Eukaryota; Metazoa; Chordata; Testudines; Podocnemididae.
ACUUUUAAAAGGGUAACAGUUACCCAAUGGCUUUAGGCGCCAUCUAGCUUGGUGCAACUCCAAAUAAAAGUA